AGUCGUAACAAGGUAUCCGUAGGUGAACCUGCGGAUGGAUCAUUACCAAAUAUCCAUAACUUACGUACUGUGAACUUGUUUUGACCAACAGUCAGUCGUGGAAGGCAUCUCACUCUCUAUAACUGUGAGUGGGUGUCCAAAGUGGCUGGCUGUACCCCAAAAUACUAAACGUAUAUACUAUAAUCUACUAUUAACUGACGUGAACAAGUUAUUCAAACUAAAAACAACUUUUAGCAAUGGAUCUCUUGGCUCUC
RNAcentral lists this unclassified non-coding RNA (254 nucleotides) under fungal sp. RNAcentral's name for it is "partial internal transcribed spacer region". The stretch from base 1 to 45 matches the Rfam family "Eukaryotic small subunit ribosomal RNA", at positions 1787 to 1831 of the family's 1831-position model. Lineage: Eukaryota; Fungi. The record is from RNAcentral.